UGUGCCUUUUUGCAAUUCUGGCUGAACCAUUGUGAAGCGUUUUGUUCUCCAUGUACAAAACAGACCCUUCACACAAAAUAGCCUGUAUUGUAAAAAGGACUUUCUACAAGCUACAA
Long non-coding RNA from Etheostoma cragini (Arkansas darter), 116 nucleotides. RefSeq lists it as uncharacterized. The record is from RefSeq and is a predicted model, not a curated record. Lineage: Eukaryota; Metazoa; Chordata; Actinopteri; Perciformes; Percidae. The transcript is spliced from 3 exons.